This 487-nucleotide ribosomal RNA is filed under the name uncultured bacterium. RNAcentral's name for it is "bacterial SSU rRNA". It matches the Rfam family "Bacterial small subunit ribosomal RNA", at positions 30 to 507 of the family's 1533-position model. The record is from RNAcentral.
UUGAACGCUGGCGGCAUGCCUAACACAUGCAAGUCGAACGGUAACGCGGAGAGCUUGCUCUCUGGCGACGAGUGGCGGACGGGUGAGUAAUACUUAGGAAUCUACCCAGUAGUGGGGGACAACAUUCGGAAACGGAUGCUAAUACCGCAUACGCACUACGGUGGAAAGUGGGGGACCUUCGGGCCUCACGCUAUUGGAUGAGCCUAAGUCGGAUUAGCUUGUUGGUGAGGUAAUGGCUCACCAAGGCGACGAUCCGUAGCUGGUCUGAGAGGACGAUCAGCCACACUGGGACUGAGACACGGCCCAGACUCCUACGGGAGGCAGCAGUGGGGAAUAUUGGACAAUGGGCGCAAGCCUGAUCCAGCAAUGCCGCGUGUGUGAAGAAGGCCUGCGGGUUGUAAAGCACUUUCAGUAGAGAAGAAAAGCCUAGGGAUAAUACCCCUGAGUCUUGACGUAACCUACAGAAGAAGCACCGGCUAACUCCGUG